RNAcentral lists this ribosomal RNA (585 nucleotides) under uncultured bacterium. RNAcentral's name for it is "bacterial SSU rRNA". It matches the Rfam family "Bacterial small subunit ribosomal RNA", at positions 338 to 916 of the family's 1533-position model. The record is from RNAcentral.
CCUACGGGAGGCAGCAGUGGGGAAUUUUGGACAAUGGGCGCAAGCCUGAUCCAGCAAUGCCGCGUGAGUGAAGAAGGCCUUCGGGUUGUAAAGCUCUUUUGUCAGGGAAGAAACGGUUGGGGCUAAUAUCCUCGGCUAAUGACGGUACCUGAAGAAUAAGCACCGGCUAACUACGUGCCAGCAGCCGCGGUAAUACGUAGGGUGCAAGCGUUAAUCGGAAUUACUGGGCGUAAAGCGUGCGCAGGCGGUUUUGUAAGUCUGUCGUGAAAGCCCCGGGCUUAACCUGGGAAUUGCGAUGGAGACUGCAAGGCUUGAAUCUGGCAGAGGGGGGUAGAAUUCCACGUGUAGCAGUGAAAUGCGUAGAGAUGUGGAGGAACACCGAUGGCGGAGGCAGCCCCCUGGGUCAAGAUUGACGCUCAUGCACGAAAGCGUGGGGAGCAAACAGGAUUAGAUACCCUGGUAGUCCACGCCCUAAACGAUGUCUACUAGUUGUCGGGUCUUAAUUGACUUGGUAACGCAGCUAACGCGUGAAGUAGACCGCCUGGGGAGUACGGUCGCAAGAUUAAAACUUAAAUGAAUUGACGG